CGGAACACGUACGCAACCUUCCUUUAACUGGAGAAUAGCCCCUCGAAAGAGGGAUUAAUACUCCGUAACAUGAUGAUAAGGCAUCUUAUUAUUAUUAUAGCUCCGGCGGUUAAAGAUGGGCGUGCGCCUGAUUAGGUAGUUGGCGGGGUAAUGGCCCACCAAGCCUGCGAUCAGUAACUGGUGUGAGAGCACGACCAGUCACACGGGCACUGAGACACGGGCCCG
RNAcentral lists this ribosomal RNA (225 nucleotides) under uncultured bacterium. Its description in RNAcentral is "partial 16S ribosomal RNA". It matches the Rfam family "Bacterial small subunit ribosomal RNA", at positions 109 to 334 of the family's 1533-position model. The record is from RNAcentral.